RNAcentral lists this long non-coding RNA (3363 nucleotides) under Ananas comosus (pineapple). Its description in RNAcentral is "long non-coding RNA (ACOM_LNC030253)". The record is from RNAcentral. Lineage: Eukaryota; Viridiplantae; Streptophyta; Magnoliopsida; Poales; Bromeliaceae.
CGUCUUAUGAAGGCGGUGAACUAUUCACCGUCUUUAAAGCAAAUACACCCCUGCUCCCCUUACAAGGCCACUCUUACAAGGCCACCUUACCUGUGUACACCCCCGCUCCCCUUACAAGGCCACCCUUACAAGGCCACCUUACCUGUGCCCUCGAUAAGACGGUAAAUGGUUCACCGUCUUAUCCGUGCUGCACUAAAGACGGUGAAUGGUUCACCGUUUUAUCUGUGUAAAAGCCCCCAGUCCAGGACUUAGCCAUUUUUUUGCGGGUUUCUGGAUUUGCACUAAAGGCGGUGAACCAUUCACCGCCUUUAGUGCAAACAGCACCAGGUGCUAAUUUCUGCUCAAUUUUGGCGUCAAUUUCAACAAGUUUGAAGCAAGUUUUUUCACGAUAACAAAUAUUCAAACAAGAAACACAACACGAGUGGAAUAACAAAAUACAAUCAACCGGAUAAACAUAUCAAACAAAACACUUACAAAUAUACAAAUAUGAACUAAAUCAAGUAUUAUAUAAUAUUAUACAAAGUAUGUUCUCUAAAUAAAAAAAAUACAAUCAGUCUCUCGAUCUUCCUCUCCCUCGACGUCCUCGGCCACGUCUACGGCCACCCUGUACAUCGAGCUCAGCAAUAGGUACGUCAUCAAGAGCCUCAAUACCGGCCAUCUGAUCGAGAUCCGCAAUGAUAAUGCCCUCGGNAUAUAUAUAUAUAUAUAUAUAUAUAAAAUACAAAAUAAAUUCGAAUUCGGGUUGGGUUCAGGUUCGGGUCAGGUAUAGUAAAAAUCCAUAUUCGUCGGAUUUUUAUUUUUGAUAUCCAUAUCCGAAUCCAUAUCCAUUUAGUAUCGAAUAUAUCCGUUUUAUUCGGAUUCGAGUUCGGAUUAAAUUUCGGAUAUCCAUACCAUUGGCAUCCCUAUUCCCGCUUUGUGGGAUCUACUUAUACGGUUCGGUUGAAUUUAUGGAAAGCUAAUUGGACUUUUUUCGAAAAUAACCCUGUGAAAUUUCGUAAUUGCCAAAAUAACCCUGUGAAACUUUUAUUUGUAAAACUAACCCUCCUCUUGCCACCUCAGCCGCCAGAUCAGCGUUUCUCACGAAGACGGUGAUUCGUUCACCGUCUUUGGGGACCCAUUUUGAAUGCGGUGAAUGGUUCACCGUCUUCUCUAGGCGUGGACCAUUCACCGCCUUCUCAGCAAUUCCCUGCGUACCCUAAGGUGUCUCGAGAAGACGGUGACUUGUUUACCGCCUUAUUGAGCCGGUGAAUCGUUUACCGUCUUAUCGAGGCUUCAACCAUUCACCGCUUCCUCUGCCUGGAGAAGACGGUCACUCGUUUACCGCCUUAAUAAAGGCGGUGAAUCAUUUACCGCCUUAUCAAGGCGUAAACCAUUCACCGCCUUCUCAGCAAAUCCCCCGCCCAACAGCCCGGGUUUGUGGCAUAGAUAAGACGGUGAAUUGUUCACCUUCUUUUGAGUAAAACUCCCACCCAGCCUAAUUUGGUUAAGUCCUGGUGGCCGGGCUAAAACACCUAUAAGACGGUGAAUCGUUCACCGUCUUAUCUGUUGUACACUAAAGACGGUGAGUGGUUCGCCGUCUUUAGUGCAAACACCACCCAGUCCAGGACUUAGCCAUUUUUUUUCCCGGGUUCUUGGAUUUGCACUAAAAGCGGUGAACCAUUCACCGCCUUUAGUGCAAACAACAUCAGCUGCUGAUUUAAGCUUGAUUUAAAAAAAAAAUUCAACAAGUUUAACGCAAGUUUUUUCACGAAAACAAAUAUUCCAACAAGAAACACAACAUCACGAGUGGAAUAACAAGAAACAAUCAACAGAAUAAAAAUAUCAAAAAAAAACCCCGAGAAAUAUACAAAUAUGCACUAAAUUAAGUAUUAUAUAAUAUUAUACAAAGUCGAAGUUAUCUAAAUCAAAGAUAUACAAUCAGCCUCUCGAUCUUCCUCUCCCUCGACGUCCUCGGCCACGUCUACGGCCACCCUGUACAUCGAGCUCAGCAAUAGGUACGUCAUCAAGAGCCUCAAUACCGGCCAUCUGAUCGAGAUCCGCAAUGAUAAUGCCCUCGGGAUGCUUUGGAAUCGCCUGAGUCUCCUCUGGCUCAAGUCGAUCACCCUCGAUAGUGGCCGGUGUAGAUGCUAGGCAGGCCUGUGAUGAUGACGCGGCAUGACGUCGAGAGUAGACUAAUCUAAAGUGCUCUCGAGAGACUGGCGGCGGAAGCGAGUCCAAGUCCAAUGGCAAGGAAGGAAAUCUUGAAGGGGCGGCGAGUAUAUCUGCAACAUCACUAGGAGAUGGAGAUCGUGACACUCGUAGGCUCGACCUCGAGUAUGAUCCAGUCGAUGUCGGUGAGUGUCUCCUGUGAUGACCCGAUGUCGAGGGUUGACCAAAAUCUCGACCUCCAACAUUAGCAGCGACAGGUAUGGAAGGAAUGUACUCCAGUACUGACUCAAUAUCGACAUCCAUGCUCGCCAAUGUCUCCAUCAUCGCAUCGUAAGAAGGUCGAUCAUGAACUAGCCCUCUGAUGCCCAUUUGAGUCUGUCGUAAUACGUCCACCUGCAUUAUAGAUAAAAACUCACUAUUUGCAAUCUAUAUUAACUAUAAGAUUAAAAAAUAAAUUAACAUAUGAGUGAUCGUACCAAAGCUUUCUCAGUCUGGCCGCGAGGCAGGUAAGUCAAUGGUGGACGCUGUACUGAACGAGAAAUCCAUCUUCUCGUGAUCUGCCAAUACCACUCCAUAUAAAUAGAUGUCGCCUGAACCGGGUCAUCACCGACAAUUGGAUGCUGGUCAAUAGUAGCCUGUAAUCGCUGUCCCCAUCUCUCGAUGUGUGCAAAAUGAAAGUGGGCCCAAUCCUCAUCUGGUCGCCCCUGAGAUGUGAAGCGACGGAUUGUCUCCACGUGAAUUGGUAUAUGCUGCAGGAGACCAAACUGCCGAAGGACUCGAUCGGGCACGUGAAGCUCAACGAUAUGAAAACAAAUUAGCGUCGUCCGCGAUCGCCAUACCGCACUGUCCUGUACACAGAAUGCCGGCAGCACAUCUAUAACAGCAUCUGUGUACGGCCGCCAUGUAAUCUGUGAAAAAGCUAAUAAUAGUCAGCAGAAUGCAUUAAUACGGUUGAAUAUUGAAAAAAUGGUUGCAUUAAUACGUACCUGGGACUCUCGCUGCUGAUCUAGCUCAUCUCCAUAGAACUCAAUAUCGGUCGUCCUAACAUUUGCCCCAAAACGUAAACCGUCGGCGUUCGUCCACCUAAUAUUUGAAAAGUAUGUUAAUUCCAAAUAUAUAUACAGAAAUGUAAUAUGUAUCAUAUUUAAUUGUGUAAAAAAGUGAAAAACUAGGUUAAAACUACGUUACCUAGUUUAAAAUGGGUGUACAUGUUUA